RNAcentral lists this ribosomal RNA (303 nucleotides) under uncultured bacterium. RNAcentral describes it as "partial 16S ribosomal RNA". It matches the Rfam family "Bacterial small subunit ribosomal RNA", at positions 507 to 809 of the family's 1533-position model. The record is from RNAcentral.
AGCAGUCGCCACGGUAAAACGGAGGGUGCAAGCGUUAAUCGGAAUUACUGGGCGUAAAGCGCACGCAGGCGGUCUCAAGUCAGAUGUGAAAUCCCCGGGCUUAACCUGGGAACUGCAUUUGAAACUGGCAGGCUAGAGUCUUGUAGAGGGGGGUAGAAUUCCAGGUGUAGCGGUGAAAUGCGUAGAGAUCUGGAGGAAUACCGGUGGCGAAGGCGGCCCCCUGGACAAAGACUGACGCUCAGGUGCGAAAGCGUGGGGAGCAAACAGGAUUAGAUACCCCUGUAGUCCCUGUCUCUUAUACAC